UGGAGUAGGCAGUCAUCAUAGUUAAAUAAAAUACUUAAUUAAUUAAAUAAAUUAAUACAUAAUUUAUUAAUUAAAUAUAUAAUUAAAAUUAAUUAAUAUAUUAAAAUAAAAAGACUUUUAGCGAUAGUAAUAGCACCGUCGCUGUCGCUAAUAUUCACAAUGUGAUAGCAUGGGUUUGGCGGCUUGGUGAUCCGACAAUUGGGUGCUUCAAAGG
Molecule: long non-coding RNA, 214 nt
Filed under: Elaeis guineensis (African oil palm)
Lineage: Eukaryota; Viridiplantae; Streptophyta; Magnoliopsida; Arecales; Arecaceae
Description: long non-coding RNA (EGUI_LNC060313)
Source: RNAcentral